RNAcentral lists this microRNA precursor (79 nucleotides) under Cajanus cajan (pigeon pea). RNAcentral describes it as "miRNA gene-KK1_048918". The record is from RNAcentral. Lineage: Eukaryota; Viridiplantae; Streptophyta; Magnoliopsida; Fabales; Fabaceae.
ACUUUUAAAAUCGAUUAUUUCAGAACCGAUUUCGUAUGUAGUAUACAAAAUCGGUUCUUAAAUAACCGAUUUUAAAAGU